AUCAUGGUCAUGGCUGGAUUUGUUGAGGUCAAAUGGGGAUUGGUCAAUAAGGAAAUCGUCAAAGGAAAAUCGAACGGUGAAGAUGGAAUCAAGGGAGGAGAGAGAGGGAGAGAAAGACAGAGGAAAAGAGGGAGACAUGGAAAUGGAGAGGAGAUGGUGGCCACGACCCCUCCUCUAUGAUCUUCUGAUGGCCAUAGGGUGGGUAGAGGACUCACCCCACCAACCUCUCUUGCACCUGAGAGAGAAGAAGACGAAUCACUGGCCACCAAGCGGCCACUAGGAUGGCAUUAGCCAACCACAGCGAAAGAAAUGUGGAAUAGAGGAUUUGUUGAUUUAUAGCUUGAUUGGCUAGUUAUCAAGCGAUUGAAUCCAAAAAGCAUAUUGGCAAUCAGGUGAUAGCAGGGGAA
Molecule: long non-coding RNA, 407 nt
Filed under: Elaeis guineensis (African oil palm)
Lineage: Eukaryota; Viridiplantae; Streptophyta; Magnoliopsida; Arecales; Arecaceae
Description: long non-coding RNA (EGUI_LNC046436)
Source: RNAcentral